RNAcentral lists this ribosomal RNA (490 nucleotides) under uncultured bacterium. RNAcentral describes it as "partial 16S ribosomal RNA". It matches the Rfam family "Bacterial small subunit ribosomal RNA", at positions 30 to 507 of the family's 1533-position model. The record is from RNAcentral.
AUUGAACGCUGGCGGCAGGCCUAACACAUGCAAGUCGAACGGUAACAGGAAGCAGCUUGCUGCUUUGCUGACGAGUGGCGGGCGGGUGAGUAAUGUCUGGGAAACUGCCUGAUGGAGGGGGAUAACUACUGGAAACGGUAGCUAAUACCGCAUAAUGUCGCAAGACCAAAGAGGGGGACCUUCGGGCCUCUUGCCAUCGGAUGUGCCCAGAUGGGAUUAGCUAGUAGGUGGGGUAAAGGCUCACCUAGGCGACGAUCCCUAGCUGGUCUGAGAGGAUGACCAGCCACACUGGAACUGAGACACGGUCCAGACUCCUACGGGAGGCAGCAGUAGGGAAUAUUGCACAAUGGGCGCAAGCCUGAUGCAGCCAUGCCGCGUGUAUGAAGAAGGCCUUCGGAUUGUAAAGUACUUUCAGCGGGGAGGAAGGGAGUAAAGUUAAUACCUUUGCUCAUUGACGUUACCCGCAGAAGAAGCACCGGCUAACUCCGUG